GACAGAGGAUGCAAGCGUUGUCCGGAUUUAUUGGGCGUAAAGGGCUCGUAGGCGGCGUGUCGCGUCGGGAGUGAAAGCCCGUUGCUUAACGGCGGGUUGGCUUUCGGUACGGGCAUGCUGGAGUGCGGCAGGGGAGACUGGAAUUCCUGGUGUAGCGGUGGAAUGCGCAGAUAUCAGGAGGAACACCUGCGGUGUAGACGGCUUUCUGGACCAUUGCUGACGCUGAGACACGAAAGCGUGGGUAGCAAACAGG
RNAcentral lists this ribosomal RNA (253 nucleotides) under uncultured bacterium. Its description in RNAcentral is "partial 16S ribosomal RNA". It matches the Rfam family "Bacterial small subunit ribosomal RNA", at positions 524 to 776 of the family's 1533-position model. The record is from RNAcentral.